UCUCCACAGUCAUGUCUCCAUUCACACA
RNAcentral lists this non-coding RNA (28 nucleotides) under Homo sapiens (human). The record is from RNAcentral. Lineage: Eukaryota; Metazoa; Chordata; Mammalia; Primates; Hominidae.